This is a non-coding RNA of Poecilia latipinna (sailfin molly), 423 nucleotides long. Lineage: Eukaryota; Metazoa; Chordata; Actinopteri; Cyprinodontiformes; Poeciliidae. The record is from the annotation of a RefSeq genome assembly.
AAGAUGUCGAUCGGACCGUCUAUUCUCCUGACAGUGCUCUGUCUGCCCUGUUUUAGCAGCCAGAGUCUGGAGUCCAUUCCUUCCACUCCAGUGGUAAAAAACCCUCAGGAAGCUGUCAGUCUGUCCUGUAGAGGAUCUGGAUUUAACUUUGGUGGCUAUGGAAUGCACUGGGCGAGAGAAGCUCCAGGAAAACCAUUGGAGCACAUAGGUGCAAUUUGGUAUGACGCAAGUAAAACUGUUUACGACACCAUUGUUCAAGGACGCAUAGAGAUCACCAGAGACAACAGCAAAAGCAUGGUGUAUCUUAGACUGUCCAACCUGAAACCAGAGGACUCUGCUGUGUAUUACUGUACACGAAACACACAGUGGGUAAUAUGAGCACAGAGGCUGUACAAAAACUCCUCACAGAGCAGGCAGUGACAG